This is a long non-coding RNA of Frieseomelitta varia, 1223 nucleotides long. RefSeq lists it as uncharacterized. The record is from RefSeq and is a predicted model, not a curated record. The transcript has 3 exons. Lineage: Eukaryota; Metazoa; Arthropoda; Insecta; Hymenoptera; Apidae.
UAAGGUUAUUUUUAGUUCGAUUCUCCUAAAGUCGAAACGUAACCUAUAUACAACGAAACAUGGGAGCAACGUUAAGAGGUGUCGGGUCAAGGAGAUUCGUGGCUGGUUCAGAAUCAUUCGUCAAAAGACCCCAAAUCUGAUCCGGACUCGAGAAGGAAAAAAAUUACGUGAGAGGAAAAAGGAACGGUAGAGAAAAGGAAAGAGGAAGAAAAUCUUGUCAGGUCGAUCCGCUUUCUGGCCGAGUGUCCGAUACAAGACUGGAUUCCUUCUUGGUGCCCUCCUGCCGAAUUCCCCGCGCCCUUUUUUCUUUUCUCUCGUCAACUCGCUGGCAAUACCGGCUAGGUGAACCGGAGAGAGCAGGUGGAGGUAUUGACUGGCGCAGUGUACCACGCGCUCGCGCGAAUCUUGCUACCGGAGACUCGCCGAGGUAGACGUAGCUCAUGGGAAAGGAACAGACAGAGAGGGGUAGUUCUGUCUAUAUAGACGACCUCCCGCAGCCCCCACCGUCCCUUCCCCCCCAUUCGCCGGAAUCCGACCAAUAGACGGCUACGCGUCUGUGGUAGUGCGGCGUCGCCUCGGCUCCGUUCGCGCAGUCACAACUCGUUCGACCGUCGAGCUGUACGCUUCCGCCUUGCGGAGUACACGGUUAAUACCAGAACGUGUGUCGGAGUUUAUACGUGCGCGCCUGUUUUUAACGCUGUUCGCCUGUCAUCGUUCGCCGCGGAGAUCGCUUUUGUUCGUAUCGUUGUCGAAUCGGGUAACGGUGCACGUGUUUGCGUUGCGGGGGAUCUGCGCGGCGUCUCCUCGUCUCGUUGGUUCACGGUGCUGGACGGUGCUCUCCCGCGGGAUCAAGAGCCAUGCGAUUUUCCUGGAUGUUCGCGGCCACGGUGCUACUGGUGCUUCUGGUCACCGAAGCAAGGUGCAAGCGAAAAUUUGACGGGGAUUUCGAGUUCGCCGAGGAGAAAGACGUUGAAAACGGCUCGUUUUCGUGGCUUUUUCCACGAUGGAGGAUUUAUGCGCGCACGGGACAUUCGUUAGGUUCGUUACUGUCUGUUUCACGCAGUUGGUAGACAGGGGAGGAUUUUCGAGACGGAGAGAGCGAUGCAAUUGGGAAUUCAUUUUUCUUCGUACAAAAGGAAACGGUGCUAGGUAUUAUAAAUUCCAACUGCCCGCUUUGUUCAGGUUAUCACCACUGAAAACUACGUCGAUGCAUACAGCGCAAU